This 204-nucleotide small RNA is filed under the name Pongo abelii (Sumatran orangutan). RNAcentral describes it as "processed transcript". Lineage: Eukaryota; Metazoa; Chordata; Mammalia; Primates; Hominidae. The record is from RNAcentral.
CAUUGCAGCCUCUACCUCCCCGGCCCAGGGCAGAAGAUAAGAUUAUUGGACUGACUACUAGUCCUCCACGGGACAACAAGACGACUCUUCCUCAUUGAAGCUACCUGUGCACCGGAGAAGCCCAUAAGGCACAAAGGGAGGACUUUCCCACAAGAAAAGAGGGGAUCUGAUGAUAAAAAAAGUAGUGUGAAGUCCGGUAGUCGA